Acanthochromis polyacanthus (spiny chromis) is the source of this 4687-nucleotide long non-coding RNA. RefSeq lists it as uncharacterized. The record is from RefSeq and is a predicted model, not a curated record. NCBI's taxonomy places the organism in Eukaryota, Metazoa, Chordata, Actinopteri, Pomacentridae. The transcript is spliced from 2 exons.
UCGUGAUGCGGGUUUUCUGUUGCGUUGUCGUCUCUGAGUUACAUCAUGCAGUCUGGCGUCUGGUUUGAUCUGAAGAAGAUGCAGAAAAUAAACCGACAAGGACCAACGCCAGGAGACGGAAAAAGGCUUUGAAGGAAGAACGCCAAGAGCUUAACACACACACACACACACACACACACACACACACACACACACACACACACACACACACCCUGAAAGUGGAUUUAUGGCCAAAAAUACGAGGACAGACGUCAUUUAUUGAGCAUUCUGCAGAUGUUUUGCAUCAUUUUGCAUCAUUUUGUGCAUCAUGUUGUUGAUUUUGUGUCACUUUCUGGGUGUUUGUGGUUGUUUUUGUGACACUUUGCAUCUAUUUUUAGCUGUUCUCUGUGUGUUAAAGGUCGUACUGUGUCGCAGUUGAUUCACCUUACGCCUUGCUUUGGUAAUUUUACGGCUUUUUAUGGCCCUUCUCUGUCUCUGUGAUCAUUUUCGUCUCACAUUUGCAUCAUUUUCUAUCUAAUUUUGUCAUUUUAUGUCACAUUUUCACAAUUUUUUUGACUGUUUUUAAUCUCUUUGUCGAUACUCGAGACAUUUUGAGUCUAUUUGUUGCAGUUUUUCUGUGCCUUGGUCAUCAUUUUAUGUCUUAUUUUGGUCAUUUUGUACCUGGUCAUGGUUGUUUUGUAUCCAUUUUGCAUUUCUUUUUAGGCAUUCUGCCUCUAUUCAUUUUUUAAGCUUCUUUUUCAUUGUUUAUUGUCCCAUUUUUAAAAUUUUGCGUCUCUUUGUGGUUGUUUUGUAUCAGUUUGGCAUCUCUUUUUAUGUAUUUAGUCUCUUGGUUAUCAUUUUAUGUCUUAUUUUGGUCAUUUUGCAUCUUCCUGGUAGUUUUUUGUCAUUUUUUCUUAUUGCAUCUAUUUGUGAUCAUUUUGUGUCCCAUAAUGUUGUUUUUGCAUCUCUUUUUAAGUGUUCGGUCUCUUGGCUAUCAUUUUAUGUGUCAUUUUGUCCAUUUUUCACUUCUGUUUUAUUGCUUUUUGCCACAUUUUUAAUAUUUUACAUCUUGUUGUGGUCAUUUUUUGUCUCUUUGGUUGCUUUGCGUUAUUUUUGCAUCUCUUUUCGUGUGUUCAGUCUCUUGUUUAUCAUUUUGUGUCUUAUUUUGCUCUUUUUGCAUGCGUUUUUUUGUGUCCAUUUUGCUCAUUUUGUGUCCCUUUUGUAUAUUUUUACAUCUCUUUUUAGGUAUUGUGUCUCUCUGUAGUCAUUUUCUGUCUUAUUUUGCUCAUUUUGCAUGUUUUUGUCACUGUUUUGUGUCCUUUUGUGUCUUUGUGGUAGUUUUUUGUAACACAACUUUUCUUAUUGCGUUUAUUUUUCAUCAUUGUGUGGCUCAUUGUGUUCCUUUCGCAUUUUUUUGUGGGUGUUUAUUGUCAUACUUUUUAAUAUUUUCAUCUCUUUGUGGUCGUUUUGUGUUUCUUUUUGCUUGUGUUGCAUCCUGUCGUGGUUGCUUUGUGGUAUUUUGCAUGUCUCUGUAGGUGUUCACUCUCUUGUUCAUCAUUUUGCUUUUCUUUUUGGUGGUUUAUUGUCACAUUUUGGAUGUUUUGCAUCUCUUUGUGGUUGCUUUGUGUUAUUUUGCAUGUCUUUUUUUUAACAUUCUGUCUCAUUUUAUUCAUUUUUUUUGUAGUUGUUUACUGCCACAUUUUGGACUUUUUGCAAGAAGCGAGCGUUGUUGCUGUGAGGUUGAAGGUUUCCAAGGUAGAAAUCAUUAACUGAGGAAUUGAGAGCAGCUUCAAUAACAAAAAUAGGUUUUAUAAUCCUCUGCAGCUAAAGUUCAGCACAGACAUGCUGCUGCCGCUGUUGUUGCUCGAUCUCUGUGCGUCACUUUGACCGUUGCCGUGGCGACAGACCGGACCCAGCAGCAUCAGACAAACAGUCCAGACCAGACUGAACCAGGUGAGAGGUGAGGGGGCGGGGCCUCACAGUGACAUCAUUUUACAGGUGACUUUUGGUGACUUUUUAUGGAUGUUUUUAAUCACAACACGUUCACCUUUGUUAUCUAAUCCUGACAUUUAUCAACGGGAAACACGGUGACCUUUAUCAGCCAUGAAGGAUUUACAGACAUGAGAAGAAAAAUAUACAACUUGAUCAUACGCUUCUGUAGGAUUACAAUAAACCGCUCCCAGAUAGCUGGUUUAAAAGGGUUUUAAUAUGAGGUUUACUGUUUUAUACGAGACUUUUAACCAAUACACUGUAGUUAUGCUAUAAUCUCUGUUACAAUUAACACAUAUUUGGUUCAUUCAGUGUCUUAUUUUGGUCAUUUUGCAUCCAUUUGAGGUAGUUUUGUGUCUUAUUUGAGCCAUUUUGCAUCCCUUUGAGGAAAUUUUGUGUCUUAUUUUGGUCAUUUUCCACCAAUUUCAGGUAGCUUUGUGUCUUUUUUCUGUUAUUUUGCAUCCCUUUGAGGUAAUUUUGUGUCUUAUUUUGGUCAUUUUCCACCAAUUUCAGGUAGCUUUGUGUCUUUUUUCUGUUAUUUUGCAUCCCUUUGAGGUAAUUUUGUGUCCUACUUUGGUCAUUUUGCAUCCCUUUGACGUAGUGGUGUGUCAGAUUUGGUUUAUCUGGUCUCUUAAAUUUUUUAUUUUGUAUCCCUGGAGUUGAUUUGUGUCACAUUUAUUUGAUUUAGUCUUGUUUUGAUCAUUUUGCACCCAUUUGUGGUAGUUUUGUGUCUUAUUUGAGCCAUUUUGCAUCCCUUUGAGGACAUUUUGUGUCAGAUUUAAUUAAUUUUGCAUGUUAUUUUUGCAUCUCUUUGACAUAGUUUUGUGUCAGAUUUGGUAAAUCUAGUGUCUUAAAAUUCCCCUCUGGGAUUAAUAAAGUGAUUGCCUUGUGUUGUAUUAAAUUGUUCAUUUUUCAUUCCUUGAGUUGGUUUGUGUCAGAUUUGGUUAAUUUAGUGUCUUAUUUUGCAUCUAUUUGAGGUAGUUCUGUGUCAUAUUUGGAUAAUUCUGCAUCUUAUUAUGGUGAUUUUGCAUUAUUUUAGGUAGUUAUUGUGUCCCAUUUGCAUCUAUUUUAACCCUUUAGUGUCCUUUCUUGGUAUGUCGGUCAUUUAUUGCUUUGGUGUUCAGUCUUUUUGUGGAUAUUUUAGGUUCUUGUGUUCAUUUGUGCUCAGAUUUUUUACACUGAGCAUCCAGAUGUAGCAGUUAAAGCUGUCAAGUUGCAUUAGAAAUAAGAUAAAUACUCAAAAAGAAGCUGAGCUGAAGCUUUGACCAUAUGUUUGCUGAAACUCUACAGUGUAAAAUGACAAACUAAAUGUCUGUCCCAACAGGUGCUGCUUUAGAGCUGGAACAGAGAAAUGUUAGACAGCAGAAACAGAUCUGUUCUUUCCUUCAGUGCUGUGCUGCUCUCUGCUGGAUCAACUUAGAGCGAAUUUACUGAUUUGUUCUGGUUGAAUUUAACUCUUAAAGACUGGAAAUCAGCCAACUUCUGGAGUUUAUGAGGCGUUUAAGUGCUUUGUUUGUGUCCCUGAAGGCAGCAUCAGAGCAGAAAGUCUCCACUUGGUGGCGCUGUUUGAGUCAGCCGCUCUGAAUGGAGAGUCAAGUUCACCAGAAUGAACCAGUGAGAAACCGGAAGUGAGGUGUUUAACUUUAAAAUAUAUUUUACUGAAGGCGUCUACAAACAAAUGUUUAAUUUAGGAGGAAGAGUUCAGUCUGUAAACAGAUUUUUAAAGUAGAACUAUGUGGACAGACGUGAUGCACUAAGUAUUUUAGACAUGUUUGCAUCAUUUUACAUCUCUGUGGUAAUUUUGUGCCUCUUAUUGUUGAUUUUGUGUGUCUGUUGAUUUUUUUUUUGACAUUUUGGUCAUUUUGUGCCUAUUUUUAGGCUUUCUAUGUCCCUUAAACAUAUUUUUCUGUCACAUUUAAGUCAUCCUUUGCCUUAUUUUGGUCAUUUUACUUGUUUUUAAAGCCUUUCUGUGUGACUUUGUGUUCAUUUUGUGCCUCAAAUUGUUAAUUUUGUGUCUCUUUGUGGGUUUUCCUGGUUAUUUUUGUGAUGUUUUGAUCAUUUUGCAUUUAGUUUUUGCCUUAAAGGUCAUUUUGUGUCAUCUUUCAGCAAUUUACUGCCUUAUUUUGAUCAUUUACACGUUUUUAAGACUUUCUUUGUCUCUCCAUGGUCAUUUUGUGUCGCAUUUCCAUUCUUUUUUUGGUCAUUUUGCAUCUCUUUGUAGAUGUUCUAUCUCUUAAGGUCCAUUUUUGCAUCUAUUUGUGGUCAUUUUGUGCAUCAUGUUGUUAAUUUUGUGCCUCUGUGGGUGUUUCUGGUUAUUUUUGUGACAUUUUGCAUCUAUUUCUAGCCUUUCUAUGUUCCUUAAAGGUCAUUUUGUGUUACAUUCGAGUCAUUGAGUGCCUUUUUUAGUAAUUUUACAUCAUUUUAAAGCAUUUAUGUGUCUCUUUGUAGUCAGUUUGUGCCUCAUGUUGUCAAUUUGUGCCUCUUUAUGGGUGCUCCUUGUUGUGACAUUUUGGUCGAGUAUGUCAUAUUUUCAGAAUUUUGCAUGUUUCUUUAGCUUUUCUCUAUGUCUUAAGGAUCACUUUGUCCUACACUCGGGUCAUUUUGUGCCUUAUUCUGGUCUUUUUAAAAUUUUAAUGACAUUUCUGUCUCUGUGGUCAUUUUCUGUCACAGUCGAGUGAUUUUGUGCAUUAUUUUGGGAAAUUAACAUAAUUUCAAAAGC